GGACUACACGGGUUUCUAAUCCUGUUUGCUACCCACGCUUUCGUGUCUCAGCGUCAGAAGUGGUCCAGUAAGCUGUCUACACCACAGGUGUUCCUUCUGAUAUCUACGCAUUUCACCGCUACACCAGAAAUUCCGCUUACCUCUCCCACCCUCAAGCCCGCCAGUUUUCGGCGCACCCUCCCAGUUAAGCCGGGAGAUUUCACACCAAACUUGGCGAACCGCCUACACACUCUUUACGCCCAGUAAUUCCGAACAACGCUUGCUGCCUACGUAUUACCGCGGCGGCUGGCAC
RNAcentral lists this ribosomal RNA (292 nucleotides) under uncultured Acidobacteriota bacterium. RNAcentral's name for it is "uncultured Acidobacteria bacterium partial 16S ribosomal RNA". Lineage: Bacteria; Pseudomonadati; Acidobacteriota. The record is from RNAcentral.